CCACGCGUACCCAUCCCGAACACGACCGUUAAGCCCUCCAGCGCCGAUGGUACUUGGACCGCAGGGUCCUGGGAGAGUAGGACGCCGCCAGGC
Molecule: ribosomal RNA, 93 nt
Filed under: Cohnella soli
Lineage: Bacteria; Bacillati; Bacillota; Bacilli; Caryophanales; Paenibacillaceae
Source: RNAcentral